Long non-coding RNA from Cyanistes caeruleus (blue tit), 1310 nucleotides. RefSeq lists it as uncharacterized. The record is from RefSeq and is a predicted model, not a curated record. Lineage: Eukaryota; Metazoa; Chordata; Aves; Passeriformes; Paridae.
CAGAUGAAAAAGCCCUGCCGACUGCUCUACGGACUUGCUCCAUCUCUUCAGCAGGGCUGCUCGAGUCCGCAGGCCAAAACACAAAAACAGAGAAAACUCUCUGUUGCACAGACCGUGCAAGGAAGGGGAAAGAAAAAAAAGGAUACCCGCAGCAACCCGCGGACUGUACAAGAGGAAGGGAAAAAUCCAAAAGAAAUGUGCACAGGUGUGCAGACUACACCACACGUGUAACCUGUCUGCACACCCUACAACUACAGGGGAAAGAAAAGGAUGCCUGCACGAGUCCACAGACUCAUACAAGAGCAGGCAAAGAAAAAAAGACUCCCUUUUCAGGGCACAGACUGCUGCCUGAGAACACCACAACACAGCGUCCUCCUGCAACGAGCACGCCAAGAGCCGCUCUGGACGCUGAGGCCUUGCGUGCACCAGGGCAACUUCCCCUUGACAGCGCUGUGACGUGGCAGCCCGCCGCUGACAUCACAAUAGCAGCCGCUCUAGGUGGGUCUGUGAAUUCAUGCAUUGUGGGAAAUGGAGAAAUGGAAAAUUCCACAGAUGCUGAAGGCUUCAAUCUGCAGCCUUGGAAAGAGCUUGGGGUAAUGUCAUGAUGAAGGUACACAGAAAGGAGUUACCUAAGUGAGUCUUUGGAGUUUCCUGCAAGGAAGAAGCCCUGGGACAGCAAGCAGCAUUCCCAGGCUGCUCUCGGGGGGAAAAUCCCAACAAGCUGAGGACUCUGGAUGAAUGGGUGAAUAUUGAUUGUGAGCUACACUGGCCUGCAAUGGCAAGGUUCUGGCCACAAAAGUAAUGAAUGGGUGAAUAUUGAUUGUGAGCUACACUGGCCUGCAAUGGCAAGGUUCUGGCCACAAAAGUAAGGGGCACUUAGUGUACUCGUGUCAAAAUUCUGCAUCUUUCUGGGAACCAGAGGAACGCUGCCUCCUCCUGUGAGGAACUCAGCUUGGGAAGCAAUCCUUCCCUCUGCUUUGGGUUUUGUCUUUUUCAUUCUGGACAGCAGCUGUUUGUAACACCAGCCGAGCCUGCCUCCAGCCUGGCUGACUGGACCCUGUCAGCAAAGGAAGAGCAGGAAGCCUGCAGAGGAGGCAGUGGUGCUUGAGGAGGCUUUGUGCCCUGCCGGCUCAGCGCAGGCCUGGCAAUCAAACGCCCUGAAGCCUGCCCUCCAUGGCAAGAUUCCCUUGCUCGCCGGGCUGCGCUUAAGCUCCAGAAGGCUUGAAAGGAAGUGCUCAACAACCGUUUCCCUCUGUGUCAGCUGCCCCCUGCCCAGCGAGGCAAACAUUGACUUUCAGAUAAGCAUUGGA